Molecule: ribosomal RNA, 484 nt
Filed under: uncultured bacterium
Lineage: Bacteria
Description: partial 16S ribosomal RNA
Rfam family: Bacterial small subunit ribosomal RNA
Source: RNAcentral
AUUGAACGCUGGCGGCAGGCCUAACACAUGCAAGUCGAGCGGAUGAAGUGAGCUUGCUCCUGGAUUCAGCGGCGGACGGGUGAGUAAUGCCUAGGAAUCUGCCUGGUAGUGGGGGAUAACGUCCGGAAACGGGCGCUAAUACCGCAUACGUCCUGAGGGAGAAAGUGGGGGAUCUUCGGACCUCACGCUAUCAGAUGAGCCUAGGUCGGAUUAGCUAGUUGGUGGGGUAAAGGCCUACCAAGGCGACGAUCCGUAACUGGUCUGAGAGGAUGAUCAGUCACACUGGAACUGAGACACGGUCCAGACUCCUACGGGAGGCAGCAGUGGGGAAUAUUGGACAAUGGGCGAAAGACUGAUCCAGCCAUGCCGCGUGUGUGAAGAAGGUCUUCGGAUUGUAAAGCACUUUAAGUUGGGAGGAAGGGCAGUAAGUUAAUACCUUGCUGUUUUGACGUUACCAACAGAAUAAGCACCGGCUAACUUCGUG